GUGAUAAAGCUAUAAUUUUUUUCUGUGCUGAAACUUAGAGUGCAUUUGGUUCACGCCAUAAGAGAUUAUCAGAAAGAAGAUGUUUUUAAGAAUUUAAGUUUUGCUUAUUCGAUUAUUAAGAAUUGACAUUUUUAGUAUUUGGUUAGCCCAGUCAUAUUAUUUAAGAUUAUUGAAAAUAUAAAAUUAAUAUGCUUGUUUCAUCAAUUAAUUUUAGAUAAUAUAUCAGUAAUACGAAUACUUUUACCUUUUCAACAAUCAUUAGAAAUUUAUGUUUAGAUUGAAUUGAAAGAGCUUAGUUUAGAGAGAGCCAUUUGAGAUGAAAGUCGGAGAGAGUUGAUAUUAGAGAGAGUGAGAGAGAUUAAGAGAGUUUUUGAUUAGAAAUGUGAAGAGGCAGAGAGAGCGAGAGUUUAGAGAGAAAUUUGAGGUUAGAUGAAGUGGAGGAUAGAGGGGAGAGAGGGAGAGAUGAGGUUAGAGAGAGAGAUGAUACUUUUUUUUUUUUAGAAAGAGGUAGACAAGCUACUUGCUUCAUUCAUUGAGAAAUGAACUAGGUGAACAGUAUGGAAGCAGCUAGGGCUUCCGAGGCGAGUCUAACAGCAAGAAAAAAACAAAAGGCGAAAAAAAGGCGGAAAAAAAUUGAGAAAAAAGGAUUAAAAAGGUGGAGCGCGGAGGGUGUAGUCAGAGUUUCAGUCCAGGACUUCGUAAGGAGAACAGCACG
Molecule: long non-coding RNA, 715 nt
Filed under: Ananas comosus (pineapple)
Lineage: Eukaryota; Viridiplantae; Streptophyta; Magnoliopsida; Poales; Bromeliaceae
Description: long non-coding RNA (ACOM_LNC034296)
Source: RNAcentral